This 200-nucleotide ribosomal RNA is filed under the name uncultured bacterium. Its description in RNAcentral is "partial 16S ribosomal RNA". It matches the Rfam family "Bacterial small subunit ribosomal RNA", at positions 524 to 723 of the family's 1533-position model. The record is from RNAcentral.
UACGGAGGGUGCAAACGUUGCUCGGAAUCAUUGGGCGUAAAGCGCACGUAGGCGGCCUGUUAAGUCGGGUGUGAAAGCCCUGGGCUCAACCCAGGAAGUGCACUCGAAACUGGCGGGCUUGAAUAUGGAAGAGGGUCGCGGAAUUCCCGGUGUAGAGGUGAAAUUCGUAGAUAUCGGGAGGAACACCAGUGGCGAAGGCG